GGUUCCGUAACUCAGUUGGUUAGAGUGCUACCUUGACAUGGUAGUGGUCGUUGGUUCAAGUCCAAUCGGAACCACCA
Molecule: transfer RNA, 77 nt
Filed under: Campylobacter hepaticus
Lineage: Bacteria; Pseudomonadati; Campylobacterota; Epsilonproteobacteria; Campylobacterales; Campylobacteraceae
Also listed under: 1 other name
Description: tRNA-Val
Rfam family: tRNA
About the family: Transfer RNA (tRNA) molecules are approximately 80 nucleotides in length. Their secondary structure includes four short double-helical elements and three loops (D, anti-codon, and T loops).
Source: RNAcentral